RNAcentral lists this ribosomal RNA (216 nucleotides) under Salmonella enterica subsp. enterica serovar Typhi. RNAcentral describes it as "partial 16S ribosomal RNA". It matches the Rfam family "Bacterial small subunit ribosomal RNA", at positions 1330 to 1533 of the family's 1533-position model. Lineage: Bacteria; Pseudomonadati; Pseudomonadota; Gammaproteobacteria; Enterobacterales; Enterobacteriaceae. The record is from RNAcentral.
AAUCGCUAGUAAUCGUGGAUCAGAAUGCCACGGUGAAUACGUUCCCGGGCCUUGUACACACCGCCCGUCACACCAUGGGAGUGGGUUGCAAAAGAAGUAGGUAGCUUAACCUUCGGGGGGGCGCUUACCACUUUGUGAUUCAUGACUGGGGUGAAGUCGUAACAAGGUAACCGUAGGGGAACCUGCGGUUGGAUCACCUCCUUACCUUAAAGAAGC